This is a long non-coding RNA of Cervus elaphus (red deer), 2654 nucleotides long. RefSeq lists it as uncharacterized. The record is from RefSeq and is a predicted model, not a curated record. Lineage: Eukaryota; Metazoa; Chordata; Mammalia; Artiodactyla; Cervidae. The transcript has 3 exons.
CUAGCGCCUGCGCGCGGAGCCCGGCACUGAGACGCGCUCCGGAGAGCAGUCCGGUUCUGGCCCAGCUCGUAGCACGCGCCUGCGCAUUAACCGCCCCCGCCUCCUGUUCCCGCCGACCGAGAGGGCGUGGGCAGGGCAGGGCAGGGCAGGGCAGGGUGCUCGCCCAGUGAUCCUCGAGCGCGCGGCGAGCAACGCGGGAUCCGAAGUUCUUUACAGCCGCCCGGCCGGAGUGGGUUUUCAUGCCUCUGCUUUCCGUUUGUUUUCCGGCCCUGCCCCCGAGGCUGGAGCGUGGACAGCGGAGGGCGCCGCAACAAAGGCCUUCUAGAAUAGGCGUUCCAGGACGAAUGCCCACGAGGCCCUGGACCGAACGGCGUCUGUCUUCAUAGAUCACCUGGGCUGGCUAUCGCCCACCGUCUGGAAGACAGUGAAACCUACACAGAUUAAAAGGACACCUUGUCCAGACUCUGCCUGUAGAAUUCAUAACUUCCAGCCGGGUGACUUGGUGUUAAUCAAACCCUGGAAAGAAGACAAACUCCAACCAAGCUGGAAAGGCCCUUGUCAGGUGCUCCUGACCACUGAGACGGCUGUGUGGACUGCUGGAAAAGGUUGUACUCAUUAUACACGAGUCAAGGGGCCAAUAAAAGAGACCUCAAAGGGAAGGGAAAGGACCAAUGAGCAGCCUUUAAAGGUAACUUUAAGAAAUCCUUGUUAAAUCCUUCCCUCUGAAUCCUCCCCUUCACAAUAACCAUUAACCAUGUGGCCACACCUUUGGAAACUGGUAUGGAAACCAACAGGUAAAAAGUUAGAGUAGAAAUUGACAAGGAACCCCUGAGUAUCCAAUGAGGUUGGUUGUCAAUAUAACCAAAACCUUGUCACCUCAGACUAUGAGUUUUGAUGCCUGCCAAAUUUUACCUUGUGGAAACUUAGAAAACCAGAGACAGUUGUUGCAGGCAGAUAAGUAUCUUUGCCCUGAACCAGAUUUGGUUUAUACUAGAGCAAGCCCCUGCCCCAGUUGGGAUGAUGUAUGGUGGACCACCCAGUUUCAGGACUGGACGGUAAACAUAGGGUGGGUGACUCCUAGUUGGAGGCCUUUGAAAGACAAAAUACACCUAAGGGCAUUCCACCAGAAGCCAGUCAAAAUCUAAAAUGCAACUCUAUCCUCUUAACCGUUAACAACCCAGCUACCCUAGAUUAAGAGCCAAAAGUGGCAUCUCAUGUAUAUGGGUUAGGGACAGAUGUCACUGGGAAAGACCCGUUGGGGUGAUUUGUUCUUAACUUGAUUGAAAAUAAAAACCUCCCGUGUAUUGGAGAUUGUCCUGAUCUUGAGCUCCGAAAACCAUGUUGUUUCUAUUAAUGAUACCAAAAGGAUAGAAAUAAUUGAGGUAAAAAGAUAUAAGACAGACUUUAGAAAUUGAGACAGGGUAUGAAGAGACAAAUGCCUGGGUCGAAUGGGUCAAAUUUACAGUGCAAGCCCAUCAUAAGAGUGAUUGUUACGCAUGUGUGGCUGGAUACCCACAGACACAGGUGGUUCCGUUCCCCCUCAGAUGGGACACUGAUCUGGGAGGAAUGCACCACAUGUUGGCCCUUUACCAGGACAAAGAUGCGUGGGGAGAAGACCUACAAGAAUCUGUCAUGAGACUUUCCCGAACUGCAAAGGUCGGACCCAAGAGCCGUCCCCUUUCUCCAUGGGGAAUAUGAACCAAUGCAGGAGAUGCAGGAGACUCGGGUUCGAUCCCUGGGUUGGGAAGAUCCUCUGGAGAGGGAAAUGGCAACCCACUCCAGUAUUCUUCCCAGGAAAAUCCCAUGGGGUCGCAGAGAGUCAGAUAUGACUGGGCACAGCAAGUCCUCUUGCCUCUCUAGGCAGGGGGCAGAGUUCAGUAGACCCAUGGGAGAACUUGCCACCUGUCCCAGCAUCUUGAACAUUACUGAUGAGCCAGACAACGGUAACUACUCAACCCUCCGUAGACCCCGGGCUGAUGUCUGGUGGUUUUGUGGGAAAAGGAACCUCCUAGACUGACUGCCGUCAAGUUGGACAGGGACUUGGGCUUUCACUCAGUGCCCAUUCCCUUUACCCUGGCAUUCCACAAGGUACCUGAAAAGCCAGCCAGCCACCAAAGUCGGAGAACAGCGGGGGACUCCUUUGACAUAUAUAUAUAUAUAUAUAUAUAUAUGUAUAUAUAUGUAUAAAUAAAUAAAUUGAUUCAACAGGAGUCCCUAGGGGAGUUCUUAAUGAAUUCAAGGCCUGAAACCAAAUAGCUACAGGGUUUGAGUCAGUACUUUUUAGGUGGUUCACAGUUACUUAAAAAAAAAAAUGUAGAUUGGAUUAAUUACAUAUAUUAUAACCAAGAGAUUUAUCAGAUAUACCAGAGAUGCCCUCCAAGGAGUAGCUAGCUAAUUGGAUGCCACCAGUAGAAUGGCCUGGGAAAAUAAGAUCACACUGGACGUGAUAACUAGCAGAGAAAGGGGGUGUUGGUGUUAUGCUGGGCAGGAAAUGCUGUACUUUCAUUCCCAACAAUACAGCUCCUGAUGGAACCAUCACAAAGGCCAUGAACACCCAGGACUGAUCUCCUUUAGGAGGGACUGGUUGGAUCUCCUUGUAGUCCAAGGGACUCUCAAGAGUCUUCUCCAACACCACAGUUCAAAAGCAUCAAUUC